UUCGGGGUACACGAGUGGCGAACGGGUGAGUAACACGUGGGUGAUCUGCCCUGCACUUCGGGAUAAGCCCGGGAAACUGGGUCUAAUACCGGAUAGUACUGCGCGGUGCAUGCCGUGUGGUGGAAAGAUUUAUCGGUGCAGGAUGGGCCCGCGGCCUAUCAGCUUGUUGGUGGGGUAAUGGCCUACCAAGGCGACGACGGGUAGCCGGCCUGAGAGGGCGACCGGCCACACUGGGACUGAGACACGGCCCAGACUCCUACGGGAGGCAGCAGUGGGGAAUAUUGCACAAUGGGCGCAAGCCUGAUGCAGCGACGCCGCGUGAGGGAUGACGGCCUUCGGGUUGUAAACCUCUUUCAGCAGGGACGAAGCGCAAGUGACGGUACCUGCAGAAGAAGCACCGGCCAACUACGUGCCAGCAGCCGG
RNAcentral lists this ribosomal RNA (423 nucleotides) under bacterium AET51E. Its description in RNAcentral is "bacterial SSU rRNA". It matches the Rfam family "Bacterial small subunit ribosomal RNA", at positions 81 to 518 of the family's 1533-position model. The record is from RNAcentral.